Molecule: small RNA, 180 nt
Filed under: Chelonoidis abingdonii (Abingdon island giant tortoise)
Lineage: Eukaryota; Metazoa; Chordata; Testudines; Testudinidae
Description: TUC338 (ENSCABG00000012958.1)
Source: RNAcentral
UUGAAAGUCCUGGAGACUGAAGUUGUCUAUUUAUUCACAAAACAGAUAUAGCACAAGCAAUGGCAGUGCAAAUAAGGUUGCCAGUUAGUGCCAGUUAUGGCUCCUGAAAUAAGCUCCCUGUUAAGAUGUGGUCCAGAUUGUGAAAAAAUUGGGACGCCCACCUAUGUAAAAUGGAAUUUC